Anguilla rostrata (American eel) is the source of this 439-nucleotide long non-coding RNA. RefSeq lists it as uncharacterized. The transcript is spliced from 2 exons. Lineage: Eukaryota; Metazoa; Chordata; Actinopteri; Anguilliformes; Anguillidae. The record is from RefSeq and is a predicted model, not a curated record.
AAUAUGCCCAAACGGCCGCGGAAGAAUAUUUCAAUUUCAGGUGAUUAAGUCGAUAAAAAUCAAUAAAUACUAAAGUAACCACAUAUAGUCAUUGUUGGUAACCCGUUGUAUAUAAGUGGAAUAAACCCCUCCGGGCUGUCCCGGUUAUUAGAAAAUAAUGUAGGCUACUUACUUCGGUGGUAGUAUGGGGCUGCAGAAGAAAUAAUACGACAGAUAGACCGACGACGAUAUCGCUUUUUCAUAGGUCAGUGGACUAAUUUUCCUAAUCUCCGCGGGACUUUAGACCGCGGCUAUUCAUAUCAAAAUGAGGCCACGUUACAGCAACUAAUUUUGGCUAUCUUAGCUCACACAAAUUGAACAAGCCGUAUUCAAAUAUAAGAUAAAUAUAAAACCUGUCACGUCCCUGCAGUUUCUCAUGUUUUCAGUUCUGCCUCAUGUG